GUGGGGAAUCUUAGACAAUGGGGGCAACCCUGAUCUAGCCAUGCCGCGUGAGUGAUGAAGGCCUUAGGGUCGUAAAGCUCUUUCGCCGGGGAAGAUAAUGACUGUACCCGGUAAAGAAACCCCGGCUAACUCCGUGCCAGCAGCCGCGGUAAUACGGAGGGGGUUAGCGUUGUUCGGAAUUACUGGGCGUAAAGCGCGCGUAGGCGGAUCGGAAAGUUGGGGGUGAAAUCCCGGGGCUCAACCCCGGAAUUGCCUUCAAAACUCCCGGUCUUGAGGUCGAGAGAGGUGAGUGGAAUUCCGAGUGUAGAGGUGAAAUUCGUAGAUAUUCGGAGGAACACCAGUGGCGAAGGCGGCUCACUGGCUCGAUACUGACGCUGAGGUGCGAAAGCGUGGGGAGCAAACAGGAUUAGAAACCCGAGUAGUCC
This 425-nucleotide ribosomal RNA is filed under the name uncultured bacterium. RNAcentral's name for it is "partial 16S ribosomal RNA". It matches the Rfam family "Bacterial small subunit ribosomal RNA", at positions 354 to 796 of the family's 1533-position model. The record is from RNAcentral.